CCCUGACACCUCACACUGUCUGCGGGCCGUUACAGCAGCUGCGGUGUCCGGGUCGUCCUCCGGGGGUGGAAGCGGGACAGAUGUGUGCUGGGGGGGCAGCAGCGCAUGGACAAACUGCUGCCGGUCGACGAGGAAAAUCCUGUCUGCCUCCACAGCCAGCACCUGAUAGUCUCUGUAGGAAGGGAGGGGGGAGCAGGCCAGUGCGGUGGGCACGGGUGCUGGAAGCUGCCGCAGGAAAAUGUGGGCGAAGAGGAAUGAGGGAUCUGCAACACCCAGCACAGCCAGCAUCCUUUCCAUUAACUCGGACGGCUUGCUGUCGCCAAGGCCAUUCAGGGACAGCAGGCGGUCUGCUUUCUCCAGCUCCUACAGUUCAAAGAGUUUCAAAAGGAAAAUUUUGAGUGCGUCGUACUUGAUGUCAGCCGGUGGACCCUCUAACAGCGCCAUAGCCCUGGCUGUCGACGAGGCAUCUAAGGCAGAUACUAUGUGGAAAUACUUUGUAACGUCCUGUGUUAUUCCUUUCAGCUGGAACUGGGCCUCGAUGUGUUGAAACCACGGCCGUGGGUUGUGCUGCCAAAAGUCCGGUAACUUGAUGGUGGCAGCAUAGAUAGCACCGAUAUUAGCCACGCCGCUAGCAGCGGCCAGCGCCGCAUCGGCAGCAUUUUCACCUCUGCCAUUGUGUGACAUAAUGCAGCCGGAUCCAACACAAGUCAAGGUCACCAAUGUGGAGUGCAACAAAUGAGGAGGCAAGAGACGGAGAUGUGUCGGUCUUACUUGUGGGUCACCACGGGGCCACCUAAAGAAGGGGAACCGGCAUGCUUGAAAGAGACAGAUUACAGACAGAGAAUGAUUAACCAUCUCAGCCUGAUUGGAGGGGCUAAUCCUGGAGAAUGCCACCAGUCAAGUUUGGAGCGCUACAGCCUGCGAGGGAAAUGGGCACGGUGAGCCCAGGACAAUUAAGCUGUGCAGCCAGAAGACGAUGACAACACACUUGUCUUGUUCCCUGAGAGAGAGGAAAAGUGACCGAUAAGAAUAAUCCUAUUUCAUAUCAGCCAAAAACUGAUCAACAUGAUACAUAUAACCUUGUCUUGGUAAAGGAUAAAGGCAGAUAACUGUAUUCAGCUCUGGA
Long non-coding RNA from Esox lucius (northern pike), 1126 nucleotides. RefSeq lists it as uncharacterized. The record is from RefSeq and is a predicted model, not a curated record. Lineage: Eukaryota; Metazoa; Chordata; Actinopteri; Esociformes; Esocidae. The transcript has 4 exons.